AACUUCUAGGAAAAAUUAAUUUUCCUCCCUCUCCUUUCUCUUUUUUCUAGACUUGAAAACUCUCUCUUUUAUGCUUAGAAGCUUUUGUCUUGGUGUGAAAAAUGUAUAUGCAUUGGGGCCUAUUUAUAGGUGAAAAUCUCACAACUUAAGGGCAAGUGAAGGGCCUAAUACUCAUUAAUACGGGUGCCAUUUAUGUGGGAGUUAUAGGUUUAAGAAGGUGCUAGAAAAUCGUGUAGGAAUUUGACUUUUCAUAUUCCGCGUACUUCG
RNAcentral lists this long non-coding RNA (267 nucleotides) under Olea europaea (common olive). RNAcentral describes it as "long non-coding RNA (OEUR_LNC010318)". The record is from RNAcentral. Lineage: Eukaryota; Viridiplantae; Streptophyta; Magnoliopsida; Lamiales; Oleaceae.